Erythranthe guttata (spotted monkey flower) is the source of this 196-nucleotide non-coding RNA. NCBI's taxonomy places the organism in Eukaryota, Viridiplantae, Streptophyta, Magnoliopsida, Lamiales, Phrymaceae. The record is from Rfam.
AUACCUUUCUCGGCCUUUUGGCUAAGAUCAAGUGUAGUAUCUGUUCUUAUCAGUUUAAUAUCUGAUAUGUGGGCCAUUGGCCCACACGAUAUUAAAUUAAUUUUUUAAGGGGGAAAGCCUAUCAAGGUAGCUUGCUGCUUGGGCUUUCGCGCGUCGCCCUUGCGUUGCACUACUGCACGGGCCUGGCGCACCCCAC